GAGCGGCCGGCGAGAGUUAUGAGUCUGGUUGCUUGGUUGGAACUGUGGUGGGAACACUAGCCCUGUGAUGUAUAGAUCGUCAGGCACAUAGAUUGUAAUAAGGCUG
This is a long non-coding RNA of Dipodomys spectabilis (banner-tailed kangaroo rat), 106 nucleotides long. RefSeq lists it as uncharacterized. The record is from RefSeq and is a predicted model, not a curated record. NCBI's taxonomy places the organism in Eukaryota, Metazoa, Chordata, Mammalia, Rodentia, Heteromyidae. The transcript is spliced from 3 exons.